Molecule: ribosomal RNA, 477 nt
Filed under: uncultured organism
Description: partial 16S ribosomal RNA
Rfam family: Bacterial small subunit ribosomal RNA
Source: RNAcentral
GUACACUCCUACGGGAGGCAGCAGUGGGGAAUAUUGCACAAUGGGCGCAAGCCUGAUGCAGCCAUGCCGCGUGUGUGAAGAAGGCCUUCGGGUUGUAAAGCACUUUCAGCGGGGAGGAAGGCGAUACGGUUAAUAACCGUGUUGAUUGACGUUACCCGCAGAAGAAGCACCGGCUAACUCCGUGCCAGCAGCCGCGGUAAUACGGAGGGUGCAAGCGUUAAUCGGAAUUACUGGGCGUAAAGCGCACGCAGGCGGUCUGUCAAGUCGGAUGUGAAAUCCCCGGGCUCAACCUGGGAACUGCAUUCGAAACUGGCAGGCUUGAGUCUUGUAGAGGGGGGUAGAAUUCCAGGUGUAGCGGUGAAAUGCGUAGAGAUCUGGAGGAAUACCGGUGGCGAAGGCGGCCCCCUGGACAAAGACUGACGCUCAGGUGCGAAAGCGUGGGGAGCAAACAGGAUUAGAAACCCCGGUAGUCCCAUG